CUACGGGGUGCACCAGUCGAGAAUCUUCCGCAAUGGACGAAAGUCUGACGGAGCGACGCCGCGUGCGGGAUGAAGGCCUUCGGGUUGUAAACCGCUGUCAGUGGGGAGGAAAUGCAUCAGGGUUCUCCCUGGUGUUUGACCGAUCCGCAGAGGAAGCGCAGGCUAAGUUCGUGCCAGCAGCCGCGGUAACACGAACUGCGCGAACGUUAUUCGGAAUCACUGGGCUUAAAGAGUUCGUAGGCGGCCUUUCAAGUCGGGUGUGAAAUCCCUCGGCUCAACCGAGGAAUUGCGCCUGAUACUGUUGGGCUUGAGGGGGAUAGGGGUGAGCGGAACUGAUGGUGGAGCGGUGAAAUGCGUUGAUAUCAUCAGGAACACCGGUGGCGAAGGCGGCUCACUGGAUCUCUUCUGACGCUGAGGAACGAAAGCUAGGGGAGCGAACGGGAUUAGAUACCCGGGUAGUC
RNAcentral lists this ribosomal RNA (461 nucleotides) under uncultured bacterium. Its description in RNAcentral is "partial 16S ribosomal RNA". It matches the Rfam family "Bacterial small subunit ribosomal RNA", at positions 339 to 795 of the family's 1533-position model. The record is from RNAcentral.